AAUUACAUAAAGUUGUCCCAACAUGGUUGACAAACAAAUAAUACAAAAUAUAAACAUCAUAAAUUCAACAUAUAGUAUUUUCUAUUCUAAGCCAAAUAUGAUAAUCCACUUUCAAGUAAAAUCAAAAUUGAACAAAAUAUUUUUCAAAUAUUCACUAUUCUAAUCAUAACCAUUCAAAUAGACAAUUCAAAUGUUUGAUGGCCACUCUCUCAGUCUUAAGCAUAUAAGUUGCAGUACUAGAGGGAAUGAGUAUGUUUGAUUUGUCUACAAUUGUUAUAACUAACUGUAACAUAUUAAUAAAUUUAAACAAACAAUAAUAGUAAUAAUAAUAAUAGUAAUUACCAUGUACGCGUAUACGUAAUUUAUUUCGUGUUGUUAUAAAUAUAUUUAACAAAUGAAAAGAAAGAGAGAGAGAGAAAAGACUACAACAAUUUUAACAACAAUAACGAUUGACAAUAAAAUAUAAUAAUA
Cinara cedri is the source of this 471-nucleotide non-coding RNA. The record is from the annotation of a GenBank genome assembly. Lineage: Eukaryota; Metazoa; Arthropoda; Insecta; Hemiptera; Aphididae.